This 387-nucleotide ribosomal RNA is filed under the name Nitzschia sp. (in: diatoms). RNAcentral describes it as "Nitzschia sp. (in: Bacillariophyta) partial small subunit ribosomal RNA". It matches the Rfam family "Eukaryotic small subunit ribosomal RNA", at positions 582 to 975 of the family's 1831-position model. The record is from RNAcentral. Lineage: Eukaryota; Bacillariophyta; Bacillariophyceae; Bacillariales; Bacillariaceae.
AUUCCAGCUCCAAUAGCGUAUAUUAAAGUUGUUGCAGUUAAAAAGCUCGUAGUUGGAUUUGUGGUUCGUCCCGCUGGCUGGGUCUUUGACUUUUGCUGUGCUGGUCGUCCAUCCUUGGGUGGAAUCUGUGUGGCAUUAGGUUGUCGCGCAGGGGAUGCCCAUCGUUUACUGUGAAAAAAUUAGAGUGUUCAAAGCAGGCUUAUGCCGUUGAAUAUAUUAGCAUGGAAUAAUGAUAUAGGACCUUGGUACUAUUUUGUUGGUUUGCGCACUGAGGUAAUGAUUAAUAGGGACAGUUGGGGGUAUUCGUAUUCCAUUGUAAGAGGUGAAAUUCUUGGAUUUUUGGAAGACGAACUACUGCGAAAGCAUUUACCAAGGAUGUUUUCAUCA